AUCCUUUUGUAAUUUAUAAGCAUCAUGGUUGGGGUUUAAUGCUCAUAUGUGAGCUGAGCCUCCCUCAAACAUUAUUAGGACACCAACACAAUACCAGUCUGACA
Molecule: small nucleolar RNA, 104 nt
Organism: Macaca mulatta (Rhesus monkey)
Lineage: Eukaryota; Metazoa; Chordata; Mammalia; Primates; Cercopithecidae
Source: Ensembl